AUGCUUGUGAGACUCGGAUUCGUGGUAUUAGCAACCUUCGCCGCGUUCACUCUUAAGCGAGGCAAGGGGCCUAAGAAAGACAAUGGCCAAGCGGGCAAGAGGAAGGAGAAGGCUCGGCAUACUGGACAUGGGGAGAAAGAAGACGAGGAGGAAGAGGUUAAGACGAUCAGCGGCAUAAUCAACUCGGCCCCGUCGGUGGACGACGACGAUGAGGACGACAUGUUCUCGGAGAUCGAGAGCCUCCUGGGCGGGGAGGUCGACAUCCCGAUACCGGGUGACAGGUACGACGUCAAGGAGCGGUCCCGGUACAACGCGCACAUGGCCAACAACGCCGCCGAGAUGGAGCGGCUGCGUGGCCUGGUGAGGGAGCUGGAGGAGCGGGAGGUGAAGCUCGAGGGCGAGCUGCUCGAGUACUACGGCCUCAAGGAGCAGGAGACCGACGUCUCCGAGCUGCAGAAGCAGCUCAAGAUCAAGACGGUGGAGGUCGACAUGCUCAACCUCACCAUCAGCUCGCUGCAGGCCGAGAGGAAGAAGCUGCAGGAGGACGUGGCCCGCGGCGCGGCCGCCAAGAAGGAGCUCGACGCGUCCAGGAGCAGGAUCAAGGAGCUGCAGCGGCAGAUACAGAUGGAGGCCAACCAGACAAAAGGCCAGCUGAUGCUGCUGAAGCAACAGGUGAUGGGGCUCAGGGCCAAGGAGGAGGAGGUGGCCAAGAAGGACGCCGAGAUCGAACAGAAGCUCAAGAAGCUCAAGAACCUGGAGGUGGAGGUGCUUGAGCUGAGGAGGAAGAACAAGGAGCUGCUGUAUGAGAAGAGGGAUCUCAUGGUGAAGCUGGAUGCAGCACAAGGAAAAAUAACAGAGAGUGAUGUAGUUGCCCAUGCAAGAGAGGAGAUCAACAACCUGAGACAUACAAACGAGGACCUGACAAAGCAAGUGGAAGGCCUACAAAUGAACAGAUUCAGUGAAGUAGAAGAGCUGGUGUACCUGCGCUGGGUCAACGCCUGUCUGCGAUUCGAGCUCCGCAACUACCAGACACCAUCUGGGAAGAUCUCUGCCCGCGACCUCAGCACGAAGCUCAGCCCAAGGUCGCAGGAGAGGGCCAAACAGAUGAUGCUCGAAUUCGGGUCUGAACGAGGCCAGGGCGACACUGACCUUGACAGUGUCUCCUCCGCACCUUCUUCCCCCAGAAGCGAAGACUUCGACACCGCCUCGAUCGACAGCUCUUCCAGCAGAUACAGCUUCCUAAGCAAGAGGCCGAACCUGAUGCAGAAACUCAAGAAGUGGGGAAGGAGCAAGGAUGACGGCAGCUAUCUGUCAUCCCCGUCCUCGCGGUCCCUGACCAGUAGCUCUCCGAAGAGGAGCCAGAAACCAAAGGGGCCCCUGGAGUCUCUCAUGAUCAGAAAUGCAGGAGAUGGUAUGUCCAUUACAACAUUUGGAAAAAGGGACCAAGAAUCCGGUGACGCAGAUGAUGCAAAUGUUGCAUCUUCAUUCCAGUUGAUGUCGAAGAAUGUGGAAGGCUUUGCUGAUGAGAAGUAUCCCGCUUACAAAGACCGGCAUAAGCUUGCGACGGAACGGGAGAAGGCGAUCAAAGAGAAGGCCGAGCAAGCCAGGGCACAAAGGUUUGGUGGUGGCUAUAGUUCAGUUCUGGUUCCCUCCCCGAGAGCUGCACUCCCCCCAAAACUCGCUCAAAUAAAGGAGAAGAAGGCCCCUGCAGUUAAUUCUGAACCUGGUGAGCAAUCUAGUGAUAUCCCGAACAACCCCCUGGCUGUCACCCAGUUGAAGCUUGCCCAAAUUGAGAAGAGGGCCCCAAGAGUCCCCCGUCCACCACCCACGGCAUCGGCCGCUGCUGCUUCAGGAGCUACCAGUACCGCGAGCGGUGCACCACCGAUGCCGCCACGCCCACCAGGUGCACCUCCUCCACCACCACCUCCAGGGAGACCCGGUGGCCCUCCGCCGCCACCGCCGCCUCCCGGCUCUCUAUCCAAGAGCCUUGCUGGUGGUGACAAGGUGCACCGUGCUCCGGAGGUCGUGGAGUUCUAUCAGAGUCUCAUGAAACGUGAAGCCAAGAAGGACACCACCUCUUUGGGAUCAAAAACAUCGAAUGUUUCUGACAACAGAAGCAACAUGAUCGGAGAGAUUGAGAACAGAUCAACAUUCCUAUUAGCUGUCAAAGCUGAUGUGGAGACACAAGGAGAAUUUGUUGAGUCCCUGGCGAGUGAGGUCCGAGCAGCAAGAUUCGCGAAUAUCGAUGAUGUCGUUGCAUUUGUACACUGGCUGGAUGAGGAGUUGUCAUUCUUGGUUGAUGAGAGAGCAGUGCUAAAGCAUUUCGAUUGGCCAGAGAGCAAAACUGAUGCAUUAAGAGAGGCCGCCUUUGAGUAUCAGGACCUGGUGAAACUAGAGAACAAGGCCACAUCCUUUGUCGACGAUCCAAAACUUCCAUGUGAAGAAGCUCUAAAGAGGAUGUAUUCGUUGCUUGAGAAAGUGGAGCAGAGUGUUUACGCACUUCUUCGUACAAGAGACAUGACCACCGCACGGUACAAGGAGUAUGGAAUACCAGUCGAUUGGCUAUCUGAUUCAGGAAAAGUUGGCAAGAUCAAACUGGCAUCCGUUCAGCUUGCAAAGAAGUACAUGGAGAGGGUCACCUCGGAGCUCGACGCGCUGCAGGGCACCGAGAAAGAGCCCAACAGGGAGUUCCUGCUUCUCCAGGGCGUCAGAUUCGCUUUCCGAGUUCAUCAGGUAUGUACUUCUUAUCAACAAUAUGAGUAUUUACAGGCAAAUGGAAAUUUCAAAUCGAGAGCUUACGGUUCGCCAUUGCGCAGUUUGCCGGAGGCUUCGACGCGGACAGCAUGA
RNAcentral lists this ribosomal RNA (2847 nucleotides) under Triticum aestivum (bread wheat). RNAcentral's name for it is "partial small subunit ribosomal RNA". Lineage: Eukaryota; Viridiplantae; Streptophyta; Magnoliopsida; Poales; Poaceae. The record is from RNAcentral.